AUUGAACGCUGGCGGCAGGCUUAACACAUGCAAGUCGAACGAUGAUUAUCUAGCUUGCUAGACAUGAUUAGUGGCGGACGGGUGAGUAACAUUUAGGAAUCUGCCUAGUAGUGGGGGAUAGCUCGGGGAAACUCGAAUUAAUACCGCAUACGACCUACGGGUGAAAGGGGGCGCAAGCUCUUGCUAUUAGAUGAGCCUAAAUCAGAUUAGCUAGUUGGUGGGGUAAAGGCCCACCAAGGCGACGAUCUGUAACUGGUCUGAGAGGAUGAUCAGUCACACCGGAACUGAGACACGGUCCGGACUCCUACGGGAGGCAGCAGUGGGGAAUAUUGGACAAUGGGGGCAACCCUGAUCCAGCCAUGCCGCGUGUGUGAAGAAGGCCUUUUGGUUGUAAAGCACUUUAAGCAGGGAGGAGAGGCUAAUGGUUAAUACCCAUUAGAUUAGACGUUACCUGCAGAAUAAGCACCGGCUAACUCUGUGCCAGCAGCCGCGGUAAUACAGAGGGUGCGAGCGUUAAUCGGAAUUACUGGGCGUAAAGCGAGUGUAGGUGGCUCAUUAAGUCACAUGUGAAAUCCCCGGGCUUAACCUGGGAACUGCAUGUGAUACUGGUGGUGCUAGAAUAUGUGAGAGGGAAGUAGAAUUCCAGGUGUAGCGGUGAAAUGCGUAGAGAUCUGGAGGAAUACCGAUGGCGAAGGCAGCUUCCUGGCAUAAUAUUGACACUGAGAUUCGAAAGCGUGGGUAGCAAACGGGGUUAGAUACCCUGGUAGUCCACGCCGUAAACGAUGUCUACUAGCCGUUGGGGUCCUUGAGACUUUAGUGGCGCAGUUAACGCGAUAAGUAGACCGCCUGGGGAGUACGGCCGCAAGGUUAAAACUCAAAUGAAUUGACGGGGGCCCGCACAAGCGGUGGAGCAUGUGGUUUAAUUCGAUGCAACGCGAAGAACCUUACCUGGUCUUGACAUAGUGAGAAUCCUGCAGAGAUGCGGGAGUGCCUUCGGGAAUUCACAUACGGGUGCUGCAUGGCUGUCGUCAGCUCGUGUCGUGAGAUGUUGGGUUAAGUCCCGCAACGAGCGCAACCCUUUUCCUUAUUUGCCAGCGGGUUAAGCCGGGAACUUUAAGGAUACUGCCAGUGACAAACUGGAGGAAGGCGGGGACGACGUCAAGUCAUCAUGGCCCUUACGACCAGGGCUACACACGUGCUACAAUGGUAGGUACAGAGGGUUGCUACACAGCGAUGUGAUGCUAACCUCAAAAAGCCUAUCGUAGUCCGGAUUGGAGUCUGCAACUCGACUCCAUGAAGUCGGAAUCGCUAGUAAUCGCAGAUCAGAAUGCUGCGGUGAAUACGUUCCCGGGCCU
RNAcentral lists this ribosomal RNA (1355 nucleotides) under uncultured bacterium. Its description in RNAcentral is "bacterial SSU rRNA". It matches the Rfam family "Bacterial small subunit ribosomal RNA", at positions 28 to 1381 of the family's 1533-position model. The record is from RNAcentral.